This 900-nucleotide ribosomal RNA is filed under the name Chryseobacterium sp. RNAcentral describes it as "bacterial SSU rRNA". It matches the Rfam family "Bacterial small subunit ribosomal RNA", at positions 88 to 990 of the family's 1533-position model. Lineage: Bacteria; Pseudomonadati; Bacteroidota; Flavobacteriia; Flavobacteriales; Weeksellaceae. The record is from RNAcentral.
CUUGAGAGCGGCGUACGGGUGCGGAACACGUGUGCAACCUGCCUUUAUCAGGGGGAUAGCCUUUCGAAAGGAAGAUUAAUACCCCAUAAUAUUUAGAAUGGCAUCAUUUUAAAUUGAAAACUCCGGUGGAUAGAGAUGGGCACGCGCAAGAUUAGAUAGUUGGUGAGGUAACGGCUCACCAAGUCUGCGAUCUUUAGGGGGCCUGAGAGGGUGAUCCCCCACACUGGUACUGAGACACGGACCAGACUCCUACGGGAGGCAGCAGUGAGGAAUAUUGGACAAUGGGUGCGAGCCUGAUCCAGCCAUCCCGCGUGAAGGACGACGGCCCUAUGGGUUGUAAACUUCUUUUGUAUAGGGAUAAACCUAGAUACGUGUAUCUAGCUGAAGGUACUAUACGAAUAAGCACCGGCUAACUCCGUGCCAGCAGCCGCGGUAAUACGGAGGGUGCAAGCGUUAUCCGGAUUUAUUGGGUUUAAAGGGUCCGUAGGCGGAUCUGUAAGUCAGUGGUGAAAUCUCACAGCUUAACUGUGAAACUGCCAUUGAUACUGCAGGUCUUGAGUGUUGUUGAAGUAGCUGGAAUAAGUAGUGUAGCGGUGAAAUGCAUAGAUAUUACUUAGAACACCAAUUGCGAAGGCAGGUUACUAAGCAACAACUGACGCUGAUGGACGAAAGCGUGGGGAGCGAACAGGAUUAGAUACCCUGGUAGUCCACGCCGUAAACGAUGCUAACUCGUUUUUGGUUUUUCGGAAUCAGAGACUAAGCGAAAGUGAUAAGUUAGCCACCUGGGGAGUACGUUCGCAAGAAUGAAACUCAAAGGAAUUGACGGGGGCCCGCACAAGCGGUGGAUUAUGUGGUUUAAUUCGAUGAUACGCGAGGAACCUUACCAAGGCUUAAAUGGGA